GGACCUCGCGUUGCUCCUCUGAGCUCACCCGCCGAGGCAGCAGCUCCUCCAAGCGCCGAGCCCGAUCCCGAAGCUCCAGAAAUCUGCGCUCAAGCAACGCCUUGAGGACCAGCGGGGAAAAGAAUGCCCGCCACUUCCUCCUGCGCCUACUCCGCUCCUGCUCCCAGCUAGGAGAAUAAGAAUACACACCAGCAUGUCAUCUGCUCCAUCAGGCUCCUCCUGAUUUCCAUUUGUUGUCGGAAGGCAUCCAGGAGAUGCUCCCUCAACUGGUCCAUCUCGGCCCGACUCUGAUGACUGGAGUGGGCCUGGACCUCCGCUACGAGUGGGGAGAGAUGACAAGAAGAGAGAAGAGAGGAAUAAUGAAUAUUAGGAAUAAGGAUAUUAUUCAGGUACUGGAGGAGGCAGUGUGGAGAA
This is a long non-coding RNA of Micropterus salmoides (largemouth bass), 414 nucleotides long. RefSeq lists it as uncharacterized. The record is from RefSeq and is a predicted model, not a curated record. The transcript is spliced from 3 exons. NCBI's taxonomy places the organism in Eukaryota, Metazoa, Chordata, Actinopteri, Centrarchiformes, Centrarchidae.